Long non-coding RNA from Xenia sp. Carnegie-2017, 294 nucleotides. RefSeq lists it as uncharacterized. The transcript has 2 exons. NCBI's taxonomy places the organism in Eukaryota, Metazoa, Cnidaria, Anthozoa, Malacalcyonacea, Xeniidae. The record is from RefSeq and is a predicted model, not a curated record.
GGUGACCAGCAUUAAUAUAGACGAUGGAAUGCAGGGGAGUGCUGAAGAGCUUUCGAAGGAGAAUCAUACAUGGACUACUCCUCUUUUGAAGAGUCUAGUCAGAGUGAAGAUUUAGGUGAAGAUACCACAAGUAAUACAGUCAGAAUUGAUGAAGGAGCAAGCUCGCAUGAACAACCUAUGUUCAUGGUAUUUUACAUCUCAUUGGUUGAGUUAUUUGAAAAAUUUUGCUUUAACUGCAAGGCUGAAAAUCCAAAAGUACACAUUAAAAACAUUGGUUCGAUGGCCAUUGUAGAG